AGGGUGCAUGGUGGAUGUCUUGGUACCAAAAGCUGAUGAAGGACGUGGCGGGCUGCGAUAAGCUUCGGGGAGCUGCCAAACGAGCUUUGAUCCGGAGAAUUCCGAAUUGGGAAACCUGUCGUAAGAAACACUUGUGUUUCUUUUGGUUCAUACCGCGACAUUAUUAUCUGAAUAAAUAGGGUAAUAAGAGGAACGAAGGGAACUGAAACAUCUAAGUACCUUCAGGAAAAGAAAGAAAAAUCGAUUUCCCCAGUAGCGGCGAGCGAAAAGGAAAGAGCCUAAACUGGCUAUAUGUAAUAACCCUUAUGUGUUGUAUGGUCAGGGUCGAGGGAGUUGCGAGGAGCGAGAUAAGGCUUGCUUAAAAAAACUGUUAUUUCUAGCUGAACAAGCAGGAAAGCUUGACUAUAAAGGGUGAUAGUCCCGUAAGUGAAAGGAAUAAAAGUUUUUACUGUAAUUUCCCGAGUAAUGCCGGUCACGUGGAAACCGGCAUGAAUUAAGGAGGACCACCUCCUAAGGCUAAAUACUUUUGGUAACCGAUAGUGAACAAGUAGCGUGAGUGAACGAUGAAAAGAACCCCUUUUAGGGGAGUGAAAUAGAACCUGAAACCAUGUACUUACAAGCGGUGGAAGCACAAUAUUAAUUGAAAUUUAUUUCUUUUAAUUCGUGUAACCGCGUGCCUUUUGUAUAAUGAACCGGCGAGUUGUUGUUUGUUGCAGGUUAAGCCUAUAAUGGGUGAAGCCAAAGCGAAAGCGAGUGCUAACUGCGCGAAUAAAUGUAGCAGAUAGCAGACCCGAAACCGAGUGAUCUACCCUUGGUCAGGAUGAAGUUCCGGUAAAACGGAAUGGAGGUCCGAACGCAUUUACGUUGAAAAGUGAUGCGAUGAACUGAGGGGAGGAGUAAAAGUCUAAUCAAACUCGGAGAUAGCUGGUUCUCCCCGAAAUAGCUUUAGGGCUAGCCUUAUGCAAUCGUGUAGUAGGGGUAGAGAUACUGAUUGAGUAUUGGGGCCCACCAGGCUACCGAGCACAAUCAAACUCCGAAUACUACUGCAUUUGACAUAGGAGUCAGACUAUGGGGGAUAAGCUCCGUAGUCGAGAGGGAAACAGCCCAGACCAUUAGUUAAGGUCCCUAAAAUGAGCUAAGUGAAAAAGGAAGUGAAAGUGCUAAGACAGCUAGGAUGUUGGCUUAGAAGCAGCAAUCAUUUAAAAAGUGCGUAAUAGCUUACUAGCCGAGUACUUUUGUGCCGAAAAUUAGCGGGACUAAAGCUCAUUACCGAAACUAUGGAUCCUAAUCUUUUAGGAUGGUAGGGGAGCGUUCUAUGAUAGGUUGAAGCCUUACUAAAAAGAGAGGUGGACGAAAUAGAAGUGAGAAUGCCGGUAUAAGUAGCGAUAAUAUAAGUGAGAAUCUUAUUCGCCGAAAGCCUAAGGUUUCCUGGGGAAGGUAAAUCCGCCCAGGGUUAGCCGGUACCUAAGUCGAGGUCGAAAGGCGUAGACGAUGGACAACAGGUUAAUAUUCCUGUGCUGCUAUUUAACGUUUGAGCUUGGGAGGACGUGGACACAACGAUUAGCAAACCCAGUAGACAUGGUUUGUUCAAGCUGGAGGCACCGCUCUAGGAAAAUCCGGAGCAAUGAGGUGUCGAAAGCGAGUACGUUGGCUCUUGGCCUAGAAGUAAUCUGAGUGUCUUCCAAGAAAAGUCUCGUUAGCGAGUUAACAUGGCAACCGUACUAAAACUGACACAGGUAGGCAAGGAGAGAAUCCUAAGGCGCUCGAGAGAACCCUCGUUAAGGAAUUCGGCAAACAUACUCCGUAACUUCGGGAUAAGGAGUGCCUUUUUAACUUCGGUUAAAAAGGUCGCAGUGAAAAAGGUCCGGGCGACUGUUUACUAAAAACACAGGUCUCUGCUAAAAUGUAUAAUUGAUGUAUAGAGACUGACGCGUGCUCGAUGCCAGAAAGUUAAGGGGAUAGGUUAUUUCCUGAGCAAUCAGGAGAGAAGCUUGGAACUGAAGCUCUGGUGAAUGGCGGCUCUAACUAUGAGAGUCCUAAGGUAGCGAAGUUCCUUGUCGGGUAAUUUCCGACGCGCAUGAAUCGCGUAACGACCUAAACACUGUCUCAACGAGGGACUCGGCGAAAUUGUAGUUGUGGUGAAGAUGCCACAUACCCGCGGAAAGACGGAAAGACCCCGUGAACCUUUACUGUAGCUUAUUAUUGGAUUUUGGCGCAGUAUGUGUAGGAUAGGUGGGAGACGAGGAAGUUUCGACGUAAGUUGGAAUGGAGUCAAUGGUGAAAUACCACUCUUACUUUGUUAAAAUUCUAAAGGAAUACCGUGAAUCCGGGUUCUUGACAGUGGUAAGUGGGCAGUUUGACUGGGGCGGUCUCCUCCAAAAAAGUAACGGAGGAGUCCAAAGGCUCCCUCAAUGCGGUAGGACAUCCCAUGCACAGUG
Molecule: ribosomal RNA, 2438 nt
Filed under: marine metagenome
Description: bacterial LSU rRNA
Rfam family: Bacterial large subunit ribosomal RNA
Source: RNAcentral